RNAcentral lists this transfer-messenger RNA (385 nucleotides) under marine eukaryotic metagenome. It matches the Rfam family "transfer-messenger RNA". Rfam says of the family: Bacterial tmRNA, also known as 10Sa RNA or SsrA, is named for its dual tRNA and mRNA-like properties. Its role is to liberate the mRNA from a stalled ribosome. The record is from RNAcentral.
GGGGCUGAUCGGUUUCGACGCCGGUGACAGCAUUCGUUUUGUGCGACCAGAGUUGCUCAGACUCUUUAAACGGGGCAUAAAAAGAGACUCCAAAACGGAUGAUCUCGCUCUCGCAGCCUGACCUAGUUAGGUUGUAGAGAGUCAUCGCGACCGGUAACGGCACGCGGGGCCGAUCCACCGCAGCCUGGCAACAGAAGCGGAGGAGACCGCAGGGAUAGACCGCUGACGGCGCGAAAGAACGCUGGCUUAAGGGAAAUAGACCUUGAGGUAGGCCUUGUGCCAACUGAUCCGGCAGUGUGACAGCCUUAAGACACAAUCACGGGAAUGGUCGUAUCGCAUGCGGUUGCACUCCGACGGACGGGGGUUCGAUUCCCCCCAGCUCCAC